CAGCAGCCGCGGUAAAACAGAGGGUGCGAGCGUUAAUCGGAUUUACUGGGCGUAAAGCGUGCGUAGGCGGCUUCUUAAGUCGGAUGUGAAAUCCCUGAGCUUAACUUAGGAAUUGCAUUCGAUACUGGGAAGCUAGAGUAUGGGAGAGGAUGGUAGAAUUCCAGGUGUAGCGGUGUAAUGCGUAGAGAUCUGGAGGAAUACCGAUGGCGAAGGCAGCCAUCUGGCCUAAUACUGACGCUGAGGUACGAAAGCAUGGGGAGCAAACAGGAUUAGAGACCCCGGUAGUCCCUGUCUCUUAUAC
This 301-nucleotide ribosomal RNA is filed under the name uncultured bacterium. RNAcentral's name for it is "partial 16S ribosomal RNA". It matches the Rfam family "Bacterial small subunit ribosomal RNA", at positions 509 to 807 of the family's 1533-position model. The record is from RNAcentral.